This 454-nucleotide ribosomal RNA is filed under the name uncultured bacterium. Its description in RNAcentral is "bacterial SSU rRNA". It matches the Rfam family "Bacterial small subunit ribosomal RNA", at positions 343 to 794 of the family's 1533-position model. The record is from RNAcentral.
UGGAGGCAGCAGUAAGGAAUAUUGGUCAAUGGGCGCAAGCCUGAACCAGCCAUGCCGCGUGCAGGAUGACGGUCCUAUGGAUUGUAAACUGCUUUUGCACAGGAAGAAACAGCUCUACGUGUAGAGUCUUGACGGUACUGUGAGAAUAAGGAUCGGCUAACUCCGCGCCAGCAGCCGCGGUAAUACGGAGGAUCCAAGCGUUAUCCGGAAUCAUUGGGUUUAAAGGGUCCGUAGGCGGUCUUGUAAGUCAGUGGUGAAAGCCCAUCGCUCAACGGUGGAACGGCCAUUGAUACUGCUGGACUUGAAUUAUUAGGAAGUAACUAGAAUAUGUAGUGUAGCGGUGAAAUGCUUAGAGAUUACAUGGAAUACCAAUUGCGAAGGCAGGUUACUACUAAUGGAUUGACGCUGAUGGACGAAAGCGUGGGUAGCGAACAGGAUUAGAUACCCCGGUAGG